UGGGGAAUAUUGCACAAUGGGCGCAAGCCUGAUGCAGCCAUGCCGCGUGUAUGAAGAAGGCCUUCGGGUUGUAAAGUACUUUCAGCGGGGAGGAAGGGAGUAAAGUUAAUACCUUUGCUCAUUGACGUUACCCGCAGAAGAAGCACCGGCUAACUCCGUGCCAGCAGCCGCGGUAAUACGGAGGGUGCAAGCGUUAAUCGGAAUUACUGGGCGUAAAGCGCACGCAGGCGGUUUGUUAAGUCAGAUGUGAAAUCCCCGGGCUCAACCUGGGAACUGCAUCUGAUACUGGCAAGCUUGAGUCUCGUAGAGGGGAGUAGAAUUCCAGGUGUAGCGGUAAAAUGCGUAGAGAUCUGGAGGAAUACCGGUGGCGAAGGCGGCCCCCUGGACGAAGACUGACGCUCAGGUGCGAAAGCGUGGGGAGCAAACAGG
RNAcentral lists this ribosomal RNA (429 nucleotides) under Chloroflexota bacterium. Its description in RNAcentral is "Chloroflexi bacterium partial 16S ribosomal RNA". It matches the Rfam family "Bacterial small subunit ribosomal RNA", at positions 355 to 776 of the family's 1533-position model. The record is from RNAcentral. Lineage: Bacteria; Bacillati; Chloroflexota.